RNAcentral lists this ribosomal RNA (466 nucleotides) under uncultured bacterium. RNAcentral describes it as "partial 16S ribosomal RNA". It matches the Rfam family "Bacterial small subunit ribosomal RNA", at positions 28 to 507 of the family's 1533-position model. The record is from RNAcentral.
GAUGAACGCUGGCGGCGUGCUUAACACAUGCAAGUCGAACGAUGAAGCCCAGCUUGCUGGGUGGCUUAGUGGCGAACGGGUGAGUAACACGUGAGUAACCUGCCCUUAACUCUGGGAUAAGCCUGGGAAACUGGGUCUAAUACCGGAUAGGAGCGUCCACCGCAUGGUGGGUGUUGGAAAGAUUUAUCGGUUUUGGAUGGACUAGGGGCCUAUCAGCUUGUUGGUGAGGUAAUGGCUCACCAAGGCGACGGCGGGUAGCCGGCCUGGGAGGGUGACCGGACACACUGGGACUGAGACACGACACAGCCUCCUCCGGUAGGCAGCAGUGGGGAAUAUUGUACAAUGGGCUGAAGCCUGAUGCAGCCACGCCGCGUGGGGGAUGACGGCCUUCCGGUUGUAAACCUCUUUCAGUAGGCAAGAAGCGAUAGUGACGGUACCUGCAGAAGAAGCACCGGCUAACUACGUG